GACGAACGCUGGCGGCGUGCCUAAUACAUGCAAGUCGAGCGGAAGUUGGAGAGCUUGCUCUUCAACUUUAGCGGCGGACGGGUGAGUAACACGUGGGCAACCCGCCCUGCAGAUCGGGAUAACUCCGGGAAACCGGUGCUAAUACCGAAUAGUUUUCGCCACCUCCUGGUGGCGUACGGAAAGACGGUUUCGGCUGUCACUGCAGGAUGGGCCCGCGGCGCAUUAGCUAGUUGGUGGGGUAACGGCCCACCAAGGCAACGAUGCGUAGCCGACCUGAGAGGGUGAUCGGCCACACUGGGACUGAGACACGGCCCAGACUCCUACGGGAGGCAGCAGUAGGGAAUCUUCCGCAAUGGACGAAAGUCUGACGGAGCAACGCCGCGUGAGUGACGAAGGUGUUCGGAUCGUAAAACUCUGUUGUGAGGGAAGAACAAGUACCAACUAACUACUGGUACCUUGACGGUACCUCACCAGAAAGCCACGGCUAACUACGUGCCAGCCGCCGCCGUAA
Molecule: ribosomal RNA, 511 nt
Filed under: uncultured bacterium
Lineage: Bacteria
Description: partial 16S ribosomal RNA
Rfam family: Bacterial small subunit ribosomal RNA
Source: RNAcentral